GCAGGUCCGGCUCUGUGUGCAUUCUGCCGUCUAUCCGCUCACUGGCCAUGGGCAGUGCUCACCACGGGGCGGGCACUGUCCUCAGCUCUUUACAUGGAUUUACUCACUCGGGGCACUUAGCACCCAGUGAGGUCAGCAUCGCUGUCAUCCCGUCUUACAGAGGAGAACUCGGAGGCUGUGAGAGGUUCGUAAAUCUGCUUCUGCAGGGAGGCUUCACACCCAGGCACUUGGUCUGCUGAGCAGAGGCUCUUGCCGGCCGCCCAAGUCCCCUCCUACUCCAGCACCCUGGGCUUUCAGAGACAGAGAAUCUCUGUCCCUCCGGCCAGUGCCUCUCAAACCUGCCUUUGCAUGUGGCUCAUCGGGGACAUUGGUAAAAUGUCCAUUCAGGUCCAGUGCUUGGGGGCGGGCCUGUCUCUCAUUCCCAACAAGCUCCUGGGUGAUGCCCGUCCCUGUGGCUGACCUGUGGUCCACAUGUGGAGGAGUGAAGCCCUGGACCAUCCUGUCUGACAUUUGCUGCCAGACUGUACUUAUGGGACUUCCCUGGUGGUCCAGUGGUUAAGACUUUGCCUUCCAAUGCAGGGGUUGCAGGUUCAAUCCCUGGUUGGAGAGCUAAGAUCUCACAUGCCUUGUGGCCAAAAAACCAAAGCAUAAAACAAAAGCAGUAUCGUGACAAAUCCAAUAAUGAUUUCAAAGACAGUCCACAUCAAAGAAAAAAAAAAAAAAAAAGCUUGUACUUAAGCAGCUGUGGUGGAAACCCCUGGCAUUUAAAUAGAGACAUUUUCAGCAACAGGGCAACACCAACACAAACUUAACGAGUGAUCUGUUGGAAAAGAAAAGGGCCGCAGUGUCGGAAGUAAUCAAGUUUUAAAUAAAAGCUAAUUCUCUUAGACAUUAAUGGAAAGUAGAGUAUGUCCUCUUCUCAUGUCUCAGCCAGGGGUCUUUCUCCUGUUUGGGAGCUCAACCCAGCACUUCCAGGCUAGUUUCAGCCCUCAUUCUUCUGAGUCACCUUGAUGCAUGGGUCUCCCAGCCACACCCCAGCAGUGUACCAGGGAUCAGAAACUCAGUCAGACUCCAUCACAAAAGCAGGAUCUCCAUGGCAACCACAUCCUGGGCUUCACAAGUGCACCCAGAAGCCUGAGCAGAGCUGAUCCUUGAGGUGACCCAGGUUGUUCCCCUGGGGAGAUGGGGGGACAUGGCACCCUGCCCAUGCUGGGCCGUGGGAUCUUCACCCCUGCACAAGGGGGCUUCCCUCAGCUCUGAAGAUCCCAGACACUCGGAACCUGCCCCACUCCCUGUAAUCUUGCUGUUGGCCUCCGGGUGUUUCCAAAAUGUCCAGUCCCACGAGGACGCUGCAGUGCUUGGCGAUACUCAUGUUCUUCUGGUUUGAGUUUUGGUGGCUCACCAUCUCUGAGUCUUGCUGUGUUAAUGUGUCAAUAUUUUGGUUCAUCUGCUUACUGGUGGUGUGGGGCCUAUGGCAGAUCCAGUAGGGAAGGGCCGGCAGAUGGGACCCCCCACAUAGCGACCGUGAGAGGAAUCUUGAUCCCAGUGUGUAGAGCUGGUGAAAGCAUGGCUUUCUGGAUCAGGGGUUUAGCUUGUAAGUUAAGGCCCAAUGCUGCUUUCUGUCACUUAGAACAGUGUCCCCACUCCUGCCUGUUCCCACACCUCCAUCAUUCAGGGGACAAUGGUGUGGGUCCACUAUGUCCUUCCCGUUUGGAUGAUGUCAUUGGAGAAGCACUCUGUCCUCCCCCCAGCUGAGACCCAGGAGGUGACCUAAUGUCUGAUGGGCCUGAGACAAAAGAAACCAAGAUGGCCCGGUGGACCCUGAACGCUGGUUCCAGUGGUCACCAUUGGGUCGAGAGGAGGCAGUGGACUCAGUAGCACUAGAUUGUCCACAGGACUCCCUGGAAGGCUUCUCUCAGCUUCGGGAAACCAGUGUGCUCAGCGGUACUGCUCUAACACUCCGCGAAGCUACUGGAACGCGUCUCCAGCAGAACCUUGGUGAACAUGUUUGCUGUCAGCCUAUGUUAAGACCUGCCCUCUACCCUCCCACUCUCUGCUCUGAAACACUGGCCCCAGAUGACAUUCAGGGGAAUAAAAGUGACGUCGCUGGUUUUCAUAUCGGAAGCCCAACGUUAAUAAAUGCAGUUUGGAUGGCU
Long non-coding RNA from Odocoileus virginianus texanus, 2156 nucleotides. RefSeq lists it as uncharacterized. The record is from RefSeq and is a predicted model, not a curated record. Lineage: Eukaryota; Metazoa; Chordata; Mammalia; Artiodactyla; Cervidae.